GCAUAUCAAUAAGCGGAGGAAAAGAAACCAACAGGGAUUGCCCUAGUAACGGCGAGUGAAGCGGCAACAGCUCAAAUUUGAAAUCUGGCUCUUUUAGAGUCCGAGUUGUAAUUUGCAGAGGGCGCUUUGGCUUUGGCAGCGGUCCAAGUUCCUUGGAACAGGACGUCACAGAGGGUGAGAAUCCCGUACGUGGUCGCUGGCUAUUGCCGUGUAAAGCCCCUUCGACGAGUCGAGUUGUUUGGGAAUGCAGCUCUAAAUGGGAGGUACAUUUCUUCUAAAGCUAAAUAUUGGCCAGAGACCGAUAGCGCACAAGUAGAGUGAUCGAAAGAUGAAAAGCACUUUGGAAAGAGAGUCAAACAGCACGUGAAAUUGUUGAAAGGGAAGCGCUUGCAGCCAGACUUGCUUGCAGUUGCUCAUCCGGGCUUUUUUGCCCGGUGCACUCUUCUGUAGGCAGGCCAGCAUCAGUUUGGGCGGUAGGAUAAAGGUCUCUGUCACGUACCUCCUUUCGGGGAGGCCUUAUAGGGGAGGCGACAUACUACCAGCCUGGACUGAGGUCCGCGCAUCUGCUAGGAUGCUGGCGUAAUGGCUGUAAGCGGCCCGUCUUGAAACACGGACCAAGGAGUCUAACAUCUAUGCGAGUGUUUGGGUGUCAAGCCCGAGCGCGUAAUGAAAGUGAACGGAGGUGGGAACCCGCAAGGGUGCACCAUCGACCGAUCCUGAUGUCUUCGGAAGGAUUUGAGUAAGAGCAUGGCUGUUGGGACCCGAAAGAUGGUGAACUAUGCUUGAAUAGGGUGAAGCCAGAGGAAACUCUGGUGGAGGCUCGCAGCGGUUCUGACGUGCAAAUCGAUCGUCAAAUUUGGGCAUAGGGGCGAAAGACUAAUCGAACUAUCUAGUAGCUGGUUCCUGCG
Molecule: ribosomal RNA, 908 nt
Filed under: Alternaria cassiae
Lineage: Eukaryota; Fungi; Ascomycota; Dothideomycetes; Pleosporales; Pleosporaceae
Description: LSU rRNA
Rfam family: Eukaryotic large subunit ribosomal RNA
Source: RNAcentral